Cavia porcellus (domestic guinea pig) is the source of this 1646-nucleotide long non-coding RNA. RefSeq lists it as uncharacterized. NCBI's taxonomy places the organism in Eukaryota, Metazoa, Chordata, Mammalia, Rodentia, Caviidae. The record is from RefSeq and is a predicted model, not a curated record. The transcript is spliced from 2 exons.
UGUCAGGUGAGGAAAUUGGAUAAAACCUUCAUGGUGUUGGGUGUGUGGAGAAAUCCUUCACCACUCUAGUGUCCUGUAUUUCAGACCAAAAUUAACACUACUUAAUGAUUUAUUUCCAGCAUGCACUUGUGAUUACUCUCUUAUUUAACUGAAGAUGUUUGUCCUACUCUGUUGUGACAAAAUGCCUUACACCACAUCAUUUAUGAAUGACAGAAAUGCACAGCUCAGGAGUCAGAGGUGGUAGACGCAAGGUCCAGGCUAGCAGGCACUGUCUGGUGAGGACUCUGUCCCUCCAUCCCUCUGACCCGCUGUCCUUCCGUCCUCCAUCCUUCCAUCCUUGCUUUGCAGCGGGGCCCCAGCCACUGUUGCUCAGGUGGCAGGGAGAGAGGACACUGCUGAAUUCUGUCUUCUUGCUUACAAAAGAGCACAAGGUCCAGACUCACACCUGCAGGCUUGUACAAGGGACUCAGACAAGAGGCUGAAUCAGUCCUGAAAGCCCCUUUAAUACUGCUGCAUUGCGUGUCAGAUUUCAACCAAAAGGUUGAAAGGCUCAAAAUAGUCAGACCCUGGCACUGCUGUAUUGCAUUUGUGGUUUGAAGAGAAGGACGUUACUUGCUUACAGUUAUUCCUUAAAAUAGUUGAUUCUUACCAAACUACUUGCAAAGAAGAACGUAGGACCAGUUAUGUUGCAACAUACUCUUCCAGGCGUUUCCUCUGUAGUUCACCACAAAAGCCUUCCUGCCUCCUUCCCUGCUUUGUCUCCCAGCUGUUUUCAGUCUUGAAGAUGUGGUACACGGAAUGUGAACAUCUGUCUCACAUCUCAGCUCUACAGAAGUCCUGCUGUGACAGUGGUGCAGUCCAGCGCAAGCCUGGGCGCCUGCUGGCCAACAUCCAGGAGCUCCUCAGCGUGUCGGGCUGCGGAGAUGCAGCGGUUCAGCUCCAGGGGUGGAGGGCACCGCCAGCCAUGGCAUCGCUGAAACCACACUGGGCAGCGGAGACACCAGAGCGGCUGCCCCACCCCGUGUCCUCAGGAGCCUGUGUGACAGCUGAGUCCUCCAGGCUGGGCGAAAUCGCUCCGUCCUCCACACCGUGAAGAGAUUGAGGACUAAGAAAAAAGGAAGCAAGAAACCCAGAUCACCUGCCUGGAAUCAGAGGAAGACCAAGAAGAACAGGAGAAAAACAGAAACACUCAGGAAGCAAGCUCCUUUCUGUGCACCUGCCUUUUCCUCCGAGAGUACUCCUUUUAAAACCAGAGCCUGGACCUGUGGCUGCAGCAGUAGCACCCUGGGGUGCUGCAGGGGUUCCAGGGUGCCCUGCUCUGUCUGAAAGGAGCCCCCCUGGGAUUGAGAUGAUCAACUGUGAAAUCCUGCUCCUUCUUUAGGUCUUAUCUCAGUGGUUCCCUUUAUGGGGUCUUUCCUGUGCCCUCCAGGCCAGCUAAGGGAAAGGACUUCAUGCGUUUGCUAGGAACUUUCACUGUAAUUCUUGUCACAAAUUGUUAUUUAGGAUUCACUUGGUAGUCCUGCACAUUUACUGCUCUUAGUUUACUACAGUAUAUUAUGUUUUUCUUUUCUUUUCCUUUUUUUUCCUGUAAUUGAAUGCAAAGUCUUUAAUAACAACUUCUCCCAAUAUAAUUUUAACCAAUUCUA